GUGAUGUACUCCUACGGGAGGCAGCAGUGGGGAAUAUUGCACAAUGGGGGAAACCCUGAUGCAGCCAUGCCGCGUGUGUGAAGAAGGCCUUCGGGUUGUAAAGCACUUUCAGUAGGGAGGAAGGUAGUGUAGUUAACACCUGCAUUAUUUGACGUUACCUACAGAAGAAGCACCGGCUAACUCCGUGCCAGCAGCCGCGGUAAUACGGAGGGUGCGAGCGUUAAUCGGAAUUACUGGGCGUAAAGCGCAUGCAGGCGGCCUGUUAAGUCAGAUGUGAAAGCCCCGGGGCUUAACCUCGGAAUUGCAUUUGAAACUGGCAGGCUAGAGUCUUGUAGAGGGGGUAGAAUUUCAGGUGUAGCGGUGAAAUGCGUAGAGAUCUGAAGGAAUACCAGUGGCGAAGGCGGCCCCCUGGACAAAGACUGACGCUCAGAUGCGAAAGCGUGGGGAGCAAACAGGAUUAGAUACCCUGGUAG
Molecule: ribosomal RNA, 473 nt
Filed under: uncultured bacterium
Lineage: Bacteria
Description: bacterial SSU rRNA
Rfam family: Bacterial small subunit ribosomal RNA
Source: RNAcentral